This is a long non-coding RNA of Coturnix japonica (Japanese quail), 348 nucleotides long. RefSeq lists it as uncharacterized. The record is from RefSeq and is a predicted model, not a curated record. NCBI's taxonomy places the organism in Eukaryota, Metazoa, Chordata, Aves, Galliformes, Phasianidae.
GCUCAGUUAAUUGAGGAAUCAAAAGCAAGGAACUCACUAAGACUCCAUGAGUCCCCGUGGUACUAAGGGGAGGCACAGCAAUUUAAAAGAAGGAUCUUGAGACAGUUCGCUUCACUGUUGCAAACACCAAGAAGGAAGAACAAAGAGACAAGUCAAACAGACAUCUGGAAACCACUCUUUAUUUUGCGAAAAACACUUGAAAAAUAAAGAUGAAAGUCCUUCUAGGCUUUGGAAUAUAACCAUCACAAAGUGUGGAAUCACAAAAAGUCCAAUUUUAAAAGGUUUUCCCUUCCCCCACCCUCUUUUCAAUUCAUUCUUCCGUUGUGGAUCAAUCCGCAAUAGUUUUAA